RNAcentral lists this ribosomal RNA (1832 nucleotides) under Pleistophora sp. Its description in RNAcentral is "bacterial SSU rRNA". The stretch from base 1 to 1343 matches the Rfam family "Microsporidia small subunit ribosomal RNA". Lineage: Eukaryota; Fungi; Microsporidia; Pleistophoridae. The record is from RNAcentral.
CCAUGCAUGUGUAAGCGAAGCAUUUUUGUGGAGCGGCAUAAGGCUCAGUAACGGGCGUCUAUUUGAUCUCCUGAUGUGGACAACCUCUGUAACCGGAGGCCAAUACACAUGAGGCACUGUUUCCGUUUGGUAGGGUGUCAAUAGCUAUAUGAAAUUUAUAGCGCGGGAGAGUAAGGAGCCAUCCCAUCAGUUAGUAAGUAGGGUAAGGGCCUACUUAGACGAAGACGGGUACGGGGAAUUAGGGUUCUAUUCCGGAGAGGGAGCCUGAGAGAUGGCUACCAGGUCCAAGGACAGCAGCAGGCGCGAAAAUUACCGAAGCCUCCGGUGAGGGCGGUAGUAAGGAGACGUGAAUACGAUGUGCAGGUAAAUAAUGCACUAGUAACAGGAGGUCAAGACUGGUGCCAGCAUCCGCGGUAAUACCAGCUCCUGGAGUGUCUAUGAUGAUUGCUGCAGUUAAAGUGUUCGUAGUCGGGCUGCAUGACUGGCGUGAAAGACCUUCUUUCAAGGGGGGUACAGCGCGGGGAAAGCAGAGAAUAAGGAGCGUUUUGGGGUCAGGUUAUUAAGCGACGAGAGGUGAAAUUUGAUGACUCGCUUAGGAGCAACAGAGGCGAAAGCGCUGACCAGGGGCGAAUCCGAUGAUAAAGGACGUAGGCUAGAGGAUCGAAGACGAUUAGAGACCGUUGUAGUUCUAGCAGUAAACGAUGCCGAUGCCGUGGAGCGAGAUUUAUUCGCUUCGCGGAAGAGAAAUUUAGUAGGGCCCUGGGGAGAGUACACGCGCAAGCGAGAAAUUUAAAGGAAAUUGACGGAAGAACACCACAAGGAGUGGAGUGUGCGGCUUAAUUCAACUCAACGUGGGACAGCUUACCAGGCCCGACGACCGCACGAGUGUAGUACACGAUAGGUUGAAGAGUGGUGCAUGGCCGUUAACGACAAGUGGGGUGACCUUUGGGUUAAGUCCGGGAAGUAGUGAGACCCCUGCUGUUACUAUAUGUUGUGACAGGACAGGUGCUUAAAGCACAGGAAGGAAGGGUCAAGAACAGGUCAGUGAUGCCCUUAGAUGGUCUGGGCUGCACGCGCACUACAGUGGUCACAGAAAGGAGUUAUUGAGAGAUAAUGGUGAUCGAGAGGGAAUGAGCUUUGUAAGAGGCUCAGGAACGAGGAAUUGCUAGUAAUCGCGGGCUCAUUAAGACGCGAUGAAUACGUCCCUGUUCUUUGUACACACCGCCCGUCGUUAUCGAAGAUGGAGUCAGGCGCGAACAAGCGAGAGCGAGUGAGUGCAGGAUUCUAGAUGUGAUACAAGUCGUAACAAGGUAGCUGUAGGAGAACCUGUAGCUGGAUCAGAACGAUGUUUAUUUAUUUGUUUUUAGGUUUUUUUUUAUAUUAUGCCCUGCGCAAGGGAUCUUUUGGCUCGUUGUGCGAUGAAGGGCGCAGCGGAAGGCGAAAUGUGCAGGAGCGGCAGCAGUGAUUGCACGUGCCCGAAGCAGCAUUAUUGCAGGAAAACCCCUUUGAAUUAAGCAUAUGAGUAGAGGGAGGAAAAGAAACUAACAAGGAUUCCCAUAGUAGCGGCGAGCGAAGAGGGAAGAGCCCGGAGUGUAAUCGUUACUCAUUGAGUGACGAGAUGUCAUAGAGCGUUUAACAACAACAACCGAUCUGGAAAGACGGGCCACAGAGGGUGAUAGCCCCGUUGUUAGCUCAUCGAGUAGGAGUAGCGGUGUUUGGUAUUGCACCGUGAAUUGGGUGGCAGCGUGCAUCCAAGGCUAAAUAUUGCAACGAGACCGAUAGUGGAUAAGUAGAGUGAUCGAAAAAGGAAUAGACUGAAAAAGUGAAAUGCG